Molecule: ribosomal RNA, 805 nt
Filed under: Oenococcus oeni
Lineage: Bacteria; Bacillati; Bacillota; Bacilli; Lactobacillales; Lactobacillaceae
Description: bacterial LSU rRNA
Rfam family: Bacterial large subunit ribosomal RNA
Source: RNAcentral
UAGUCGAUGGACAACAGGUUGAUAUUCCUGUACCGAUAUUUAAUUGCCGAAGGAAGGACGCAGAAGGAUAACACAGGCCACUAUUGGAUGUGGUUUUAAACAGUUAGUCUUCAUAAGAGUCAAAUGCUUUUAUGUUUAAGGAUAAGCUGUGAAUGUACCAAGUUUACUUGGAAAUUGUGUGAUUUCACGCUGCUGAAAAAAGUUUCGUAGGAAGAAAAUAUUGCCCGUACCGCAAACCGACACAGGUACUCAAGUGGAGAACACUAAGGUGAGCGAGUGAACUAUUGUUAAGGAACUCUGCAAAAUGAGUCCGUAACUUCGGAAGAAGGACUGCUGGUUUUAUACCAGCCGCAGCAAAUAGGCCCAAACAACUGUUUAUCAAAAACACAGGUUUCUGCAAAAUCGUAAGAUGAAGUAUAGGGGCUGACGCCUGCCCAGUGCUGGAAGGUUAAAAGGAGGACUUAGCUUCGGCGAAGGUCUUAAUUGAAGCCCCAGUGAACGGCGGCCGUAACUAUAACGGUCCUAAGGUAGCGAAAUUCCUUGUCGGGUAAGUUCCGACCCGCAUGAAAGGCGUAAUGAUUUGGGCGCUGUCUCAACAAUAGACUCGGUGAAAUUUAAAUUCCAGUGAAGAUGCUGGGUACCCGCGACAGGACGGAAAGACCCCGUGGAGCUUUACUGUAGCUUGAUAUUGAAUGUUUGUGCUGCAUGUGCAGGAUAGGUAGGAGACUUUGAAGUCGGAACGCUAGUUUCGAUUGAGUCACCCUUGAGAUACUACCUCUGUUGUAUGAACGUUCUAACUCUGAUC